RNAcentral lists this ribosomal RNA (254 nucleotides) under uncultured Eubacteriales bacterium. RNAcentral describes it as "uncultured Clostridiales bacterium partial 16S ribosomal RNA". It matches the Rfam family "Bacterial small subunit ribosomal RNA", at positions 524 to 776 of the family's 1533-position model. The record is from RNAcentral. Lineage: Bacteria; Bacillati; Bacillota; Clostridia; Eubacteriales.
UACGUAGGGGGCGAGCGUUGUCCGGAAUGACUGGGCGUAAAGGGUGUGUAGGCGGUUUAUUAAGUUAGAAGUGAAAUACCUAGGGCUUAACCCAGGUGCUGCUUCUAAAACUGAUAGACUUGAGUGCAGUAGAGGCAAGCGGAAUUCCUAGUGUAGCGGUGAAAUGCGUAGAUAUUAGGAGGAACACCAGUGGCGAAGGCGGCUUGCUGGGCUUUUACUGACGCUGAGGCUCGAAAGCGUGGGGAGCAAACAGG